GACGAACGCUGGCGGCGUGCUUAACACAUGCAAGUCACGGGGGCCCGCAAGGGCAACCGGCGAACGGGUGCGUAACACGUGACCAACCUGCCCUUGUGUGGGGGAUAGCCGGGCUAACGCCCGGGUAAUACCGCAUACGGUCCCUUGGGGGAGUCCCUGGGGGAAGAAAGCUCUGGCGCACGAGGAGGGGGUCNCGGCCUAUCAGCUAGUUGGCGAGGUAAUGGCUCACCAAGGCGACGACGGGGUAGCUGGUCGAGAGGAUGGCCAGCCACAUUGGGACUGAGAGACGGCCCAGACUCCUACGGGAGGCAGCAGUGGGGAAUCUUGCGCAAUGGGCGAAAGCCUGACGCAGCGACGCCGCGUGAGCGAUGAAGGCCUCGGUUG
RNAcentral lists this ribosomal RNA (384 nucleotides) under uncultured bacterium. RNAcentral's name for it is "bacterial SSU rRNA". It matches the Rfam family "Bacterial small subunit ribosomal RNA", at positions 28 to 425 of the family's 1533-position model. The record is from RNAcentral.